Long non-coding RNA from Petromyzon marinus (sea lamprey), 865 nucleotides. RefSeq lists it as uncharacterized. NCBI's taxonomy places the organism in Eukaryota, Metazoa, Chordata, Hyperoartia, Petromyzontiformes, Petromyzontidae. The record is from RefSeq and is a predicted model, not a curated record.
AACACCGUUUGGAAGCGUUAUUUAAUUGAGGGUGAGAAUAAAAAGGUUGGAACAAAACCCAGAGACACCCAGUCAGCAGACUGCAGGAUUGACGGACCACCAAGACAAUGAAGCUGGUGCUCGUGCUGGUGGCGUACGUGCAACUUGGGGAAUGCGAGGACACAUUCACACACCCCACGAUACGCACAAACGUGGCCAUACACGGUGAAGCGACGCAGUUCAGCACCUUUUGUGACGAGAGUAAUUUUUGCGCAAUUGCUUUCCUCGCCAUUGACGGGAACACGGACAUGGACUACACCAGGAGCAAGUCAUGCGCGAGCUCGAAGGGUGGUUCUGAUCAAAGUUGGUGGAAACUGGACAUGAAGAAGGAGGUCCCUGUCCACGCAGUCACCAUAACGUUCCGGAGUGACAAUUGGGGAGACCACAUCGGAUUGCAUAAAAUCUACAUUGGACGAUCUUCAAACACCACAAUCAGUAAUACGAUGCAAGUAUUUCACAUUUGGAACAUGAACAUUGCCUGUUGUUCCUCUCAUUCAACAUUCUCGGCAUUCAUAACAGUCCACACAAACCUCACCACCAUCGUUAGGACUGGAUUAUUACACCAAAAUAUAGAGUAUGCUAACCAUUUGAGCAGUGGUCCAUGUUCAGUGGUUAGAAAAAGGCCCUUACCAAAAACAUUAGCUGACCACGUGCUACUGAACCCUUAACAAAUCUACUAGAAAAAGGCUUCUGGCCUUAGAGUACAGUUGCAUAUAGAAGAUGCACGGAUGUUUAUGGCAGGAUGAGAUAAACAACAUGUAAGUUCCAAAUAGAACACGGAAGGAGAGUGUAAUAGUUGUAAUCAGGGAGAGGUGGUUGUGAUGGA